GGAAAAUUCCCCUGCCUCCAUCUUUGAAAGUGCAUUCCUGGAAGCGUCCUACAGAGUUUAUUUUCAAUACGGGUCUCACCGUUGUUGAAAACAAAACAGCCUUUGACCUAGUCUCCCCCAAUGAUCAUCUGAUUUGCAGCGAGCUGAUGAGGUGGAUCAUCAGUGAGAUCUACAUUGUUUG
Etheostoma spectabile (orangethroat darter) is the source of this 181-nucleotide long non-coding RNA. RefSeq lists it as uncharacterized. Lineage: Eukaryota; Metazoa; Chordata; Actinopteri; Perciformes; Percidae. The record is from RefSeq and is a predicted model, not a curated record. The transcript is spliced from 3 exons.